Molecule: transfer RNA, 87 nt
Filed under: Opitutaceae bacterium
Lineage: Bacteria; Pseudomonadati; Verrucomicrobiota; Opitutia; Opitutales; Opitutaceae
Also listed under: 5 other names
Description: tRNA-Tyr
Rfam family: tRNA
About the family: Transfer RNA (tRNA) molecules are approximately 80 nucleotides in length. Their secondary structure includes four short double-helical elements and three loops (D, anti-codon, and T loops). Further hydrogen bonds mediate the characteristic L-shaped molecular structure. tRNAs have two regions of fundamental functional importance: the anti-codon, which is responsible for specific mRNA codon recognition, and the 3' end, to which the tRNAs corresponding amino acid is attached (by aminoacyl-tRNA synthetases). tRNAs cope with the degeneracy of the genetic code in two manners: having more than one tRNA (with a specific anti-codon) for a particular amino acid; and 'wobble' base-pairing, i.e. permitting non-standard base-pairing at the 3rd anti-codon position.
Source: RNAcentral
GGUGGAAUAGCGAAGUGGCCAAACGCGACUGACUGUAAAUCAGUUGGACAUCGUCCUUCGGUGGUUCGAAUCCACCUUCCACCACCA